RNAcentral lists this transfer RNA (66 nucleotides) under Colobopsis nipponica. RNAcentral's name for it is "tRNA-Ala". The record is from RNAcentral. Lineage: Eukaryota; Metazoa; Arthropoda; Insecta; Hymenoptera; Formicidae.
AGGAUUUUAGUUAAUCUAUAAUAUCUAAAUUGCACUUAGAAGUAAUACCAAUAAAUAUAAAUCUUA